CCCCUAGAUGUUCUGGGCCGCACGCGCGCUACACUGAACAGUUCAACAAGUCUUAACCUUGGCCGAUAGGUCUGGGUAAUCUUUGAACGCUGUUCGUGAUUGGGAUAGACCUUUGCAAUUAUGGGUCUUCAACGAGGAAUUCCUAGUAAACGCAAGUCAUCAGCUUGCAUUGAUUACGUCCCUGCCCUUUGUACACACCGCCCGUCGCACCUACCGAUUGAAUGGUCCGGUGAAAUCACGGGACGGCGGCUUGGUCGCUUGCGUCCGACUGCUGAAACUUGAUUAAACCAUAUCAUUUAGAGGAAGGUGAAGUCGUAACA
Molecule: ribosomal RNA, 320 nt
Filed under: uncultured eukaryote
Lineage: Eukaryota
Description: partial 18S ribosomal RNA
Rfam family: Eukaryotic small subunit ribosomal RNA
Source: RNAcentral